Molecule: ribosomal RNA, 253 nt
Filed under: uncultured bacterium
Lineage: Bacteria
Description: partial 16S ribosomal RNA
Rfam family: Bacterial small subunit ribosomal RNA
Source: RNAcentral
UACGAAGGGGGCUAGCGUUGUUCGGAAUUACUGGGCGUAAAGGGCGCGUAGGCGGUGCUGUAAGUCAGGCGUGAAAUCCCCGGGCUCAACCUGGGAAUUGCGUUUGAUACUGCGGCGCUGGAAUGCGGGAGAGGAUGGCGGAAUUCCCAGUGUAGAGGUGAAAUUCGUAGAUAUUGGGAAGAACACCGGUGGCGAAGGCGGCCAUCUGGCCCGUAAUUGACGCUGAGGCGCGAAAGCGUGGGGAGCAAACAGG